RNAcentral lists this long non-coding RNA (875 nucleotides) under Salmo salar (Atlantic salmon). Its description in RNAcentral is "lncRNA (ENSSSAG00000099854.1)". The record is from RNAcentral. Lineage: Eukaryota; Metazoa; Chordata; Actinopteri; Salmoniformes; Salmonidae.
GGUUAGCGAUAAACUGAAAUCCAAACUGAACAGGUUCUAAUUUUAAGACAAUGGUCUUAAAUAUAUUUAAUGGUCUCGUUGCAAAAGCUAAAUUGUCGCAAGGGAACUUUUAUUUAUUUUAUUUCAACUUUAUUUAACUCGGGUAACAAAGAUUAUAGCAAACACCACUGAAGCGGAAUUGGUGCUCACUAGCUUUGCAAAUUCAGCUAUUGUUGGAAGCCAGCCAAUAUGAAACAAACUAUUAAAAUUACAAAAGGUUGCAGCAUAUGUUGUGUAAAUGGUGAACUCAUACAGCUGUCAACUCUUGUCAUUUUAAUCCGUUUCACAUUUGCUAGCUACCUUUUAGAUCGAAGUCCAUAUAGAAUGAUAGAAGAUAAGAUGAUAGAAGCCCAUCUCCUACUGUAAAUAACCUACACACUUUAGCCAGCCAGGUAGAAAAAUGGCAGAAAAAAGAAAAAAGACGGACAUCAGAGUAUUUUUCAGUACACCAAAACGCAAAGCAGAGCAGGCAACAGAUGGCACACAGACAGCAGAGUUGGGGACAGAUAUGCAGGGACAGACUGGCAGAGACAGGGAGUCUCAGAUGGGAUAGGGCAGUGUGCAGUGCGAUGGCGUGGAUCUAUUGGAGCGGUAAGCAAAUUGAAGUGGGUCUAGGGUGUCAGGUAAGGUAGAGGUGAUAUGAUCCUUGACUAGUCUCUCAAAGCACUUCAUGAUGGCAGAAGUGAGUCCUACAGGGUGAUAGUCAUUUAGUUCAGUUACCUUUGCUUUCUUGGGUACAGGAACAAUGGUGGACAUCUUGAAGCAUGUGGAGACAACAGACUGGGAUAGGGAUAUAUUGAAUAUGUCCAUAAACACUCCAGCCAGCUGGUCUGCGC